CAACAGGAUUUUCUCAAAUCCACCCAAACUGCAAAGUCCCACAUUAU
This is a non-coding RNA of Thalassiosira oceanica, 47 nucleotides long. The record is from Rfam. Lineage: Eukaryota; Bacillariophyta; Thalassiosirophyceae; Thalassiosirales; Thalassiosiraceae.